AUUGAACGCUGGCGGCAGGCCUAACACAUGCAAGUCGAGCGGUAGAGAGAAGCUUGCUUCUCUUGAGAGCGGCGGACGGGUGAGUAAUGCCUAGGAAUCUGCCUGGUAGUGGGGGAUAGCGUUCGGAAACGGACGCUAAUACCGCAUACGUCCUACGGGAGAAAGCAGGAGACCUUCGGGCCUUGCGCUAUCAGAUGCGCCUAGGUCGGAUUAGAUAGUUGAUGCGGUAAUGGAUCAGCAAGGCAACGAUCCGUAACUGGUCUGAGAGGAUGAUCAGUCACACUGGAACUGAGACACGGUCCAGACUCCUACGGGAGGCAGCAGUGGGGAAUAUUGGACAAUGGACGAAAGCCUGAUCCAGCCAUGCCGCGUGUGUGAAGAAGGUCUUCGGAUUGUAAAGCACUUUAAGUUGGGAGGAAGGGUUGUAGAUUAAUACUCUGCAAUUUUGACGUUACCGACAGAAUAAGCACCGGCUAACUCUGUGCCAGCCGCCGCCGUAA
Molecule: ribosomal RNA, 500 nt
Filed under: uncultured bacterium
Lineage: Bacteria
Description: partial 16S ribosomal RNA
Rfam family: Bacterial small subunit ribosomal RNA
Source: RNAcentral